Molecule: ribosomal RNA, 484 nt
Filed under: uncultured bacterium
Lineage: Bacteria
Description: partial 16S ribosomal RNA
Rfam family: Bacterial small subunit ribosomal RNA
Source: RNAcentral
AUUGAACGCUGGCGGCAGGCCUAACACAUGCAAGUCGAGCGGAUGAAGGGAGCUUGCUCCUGGAUUCAGCGGCGGACGGGUGAGUAAUGCCUAGGAAUCUGCCUGGUAGUGGGGGAUAACGUCCGGAAACGGGCGCUAAUACCGCAUACGUCCUGAGGGAGAAAGUGGGGGAUCUUCGGACCUCACGCUAUCAGAUGAGCCUAGGUCGGAUUAGCUAGUUGGUGGGGUAAAGGCCUACCAAGGCGACGAUCCGUAACUGGUCUGAGAGGAUGAUCAGUCACACUGGAACUGAGACACGGUCCAGACUCCUACGGGAGGCAGCAGUGGGGAAUAUUGGACAAUGGGCGAAAGCCUAAUCCAGCCAUGCCGCGUGUGUGAAGAAGGUCUUCGGAUUGUAAAGCCCUUUUAGUUGGGAGGAAGAGCAGUAAGUUAAUACCUUGCUGUUUUGACGUUACCAACAGAAUAAGCACCGGCUAACUUCGUG